This 45-nucleotide non-coding RNA is filed under the name Schistosoma mansoni. Lineage: Eukaryota; Metazoa; Platyhelminthes; Trematoda; Strigeidida; Schistosomatidae. The record is from RNAcentral.
AUCCAAGUGACGAGUCCAAAAUAAGACGAAAGGGGCGUCCUGGAU